UACGGGGGGGCAAGCGUUGUUCGGAAUUACUGGGCGUAAAGGGCUCGUAGGUGGCCAACUAAGUCAGACGUGAAAUCCCUCGGCUUAACCGGGGAACUGCGUCUGAUACUGGAUGGCUUGAGAUUGGGAGAGGGAUGCGGAAUUCCAGGUGUAGCGGUGAAAUGCGUAGAUAUCUGGAGGAAUACCGGUGGCGAAGGCGGCAUCCUGGACCGGCAUUGACGCUGAUGAGCGAAAGCUAGGGGAGCAAACGGG
This 252-nucleotide ribosomal RNA is filed under the name uncultured bacterium. RNAcentral's name for it is "partial 16S ribosomal RNA". It matches the Rfam family "Bacterial small subunit ribosomal RNA", at positions 524 to 776 of the family's 1533-position model. The record is from RNAcentral.